GGAGGGGUGUCCGAAUGGCAAGGAGCCGGUCUUGAAAACCGGUGAAGGGCAUUGCGCCUGUCUGGGUUCGAGUCCCAGCCCCUCCGCCA
Molecule: transfer RNA, 89 nt
Filed under: Candidatus Aerophobota bacterium
Lineage: Bacteria; Candidatus Aerophobota
Description: tRNA-Ser
Rfam family: tRNA
About the family: Transfer RNA (tRNA) molecules are approximately 80 nucleotides in length. Their secondary structure includes four short double-helical elements and three loops (D, anti-codon, and T loops).
Source: RNAcentral